This 497-nucleotide ribosomal RNA is filed under the name uncultured bacterium. Its description in RNAcentral is "partial 16S ribosomal RNA". It matches the Rfam family "Bacterial small subunit ribosomal RNA", at positions 28 to 507 of the family's 1533-position model. The record is from RNAcentral.
GACGAACGCUGGCGGCGUGCCUAAUACAUGCAAGUCGAACGAACGGAUAAAGAGCUUGCUCUUUUGAAGUUAGUGGCGGACGGGUGAGUAACACGUGGGUAACCUGCCUCACAGCUGGGGAUAACAUCGAGAAAUCGAUGCUAAUACCGAAUGUGCUGAACAUCAUAAGAUGUUCAAGUGAAAGACGGUUUCGGCUGUCACUGUGAGAUGGACCCGCGCUGGAUUAGCUAGUUGGUAAGGUAAUGGCUUACCAAGGCGACGAUCCAUAGCCGACCUGAGAGGGUGAUCGGCCACAUUGGGACUGAGACACGGCCCAAACUCCUACGGGAGGCAGCAGUAGGGAAUCUUCGGCAAAGGACGAAAGUCUGACCGAGCAACGCCGCGUGAGCGAAGAAGGCCUUCGGGUCGUAAAGCUCUGUUGUUAGAGAAGAACAUGGGUGAGAGUAACUGUUCACCCCUUGACGGUAUCUAACCAGAAAGCCACGGCUAACUACGUG